UGGGGAAUUUUGGACAAUGGGGGCAACCCUGAUCCAGCAAUGCCGCGUGUGUGAAGAAGGCCUUCGGGUUGUAAAGCACUUUUGUCCGGAAAGAAAACGCCGUGGUUAAUACCCGUGGCGGAUGACGGUACCGGAAGAAUAAGCACCGGCUAACUACGUGCCAGCAGCCGCGGUAAUACGUAGGGUGCAAGCGUUAAUCGGAAUUACUGGGCGUAAAGCGUGCGCAGGCGGUCCGCUAAGACAGAUGUGAAAUCCCCGGGCUUAACCUGGGAACUGCAUUUGUGACUGGCGGGCUAGAGUAUGGCAGAGGGGGGUAGAAUUCCACGUGUAGCAGUGAAAUGCGUAGAGAUGUGGAGGAAUACCGAUGGCGAAGGCAGCCCCCUGGGCCAAUACUGACGCUCAUGCACGAAAAGCGUGGGGGAGCAAACAGGAUUCAGAUACCCUGGUAGUCCACGCCCUAAACGAUGUCAACUAGGUUGUCGGGUUCUUCAUUGACUUGGUAACGUAGCUAACGCGUGAAGUUGACCGCCUGGGGAGUACGGUCGCAAGAUUAAAACUCAAAGGAAUUGACGGGGUCUAGCUGUUUCCUG
This 590-nucleotide ribosomal RNA is filed under the name uncultured bacterium. RNAcentral's name for it is "partial 16S ribosomal RNA". It matches the Rfam family "Bacterial small subunit ribosomal RNA", at positions 355 to 933 of the family's 1533-position model. The record is from RNAcentral.